This 254-nucleotide ribosomal RNA is filed under the name uncultured bacterium. RNAcentral describes it as "partial 16S ribosomal RNA". It matches the Rfam family "Bacterial small subunit ribosomal RNA", at positions 524 to 776 of the family's 1533-position model. The record is from RNAcentral.
GACGAACCGUGCGAACGUUAUUCGGAAUCACUGGGCUUAAAGCGCGUGUAGGCGGGCGGGAACGUCGGUUGCUGAAAGCCCCCGGCUCAACCGGGGAACGGGCGCCGAAACGACCCGCCUCGAGGGACGUAGGGGGACCUGGAACUUCCGGUGGAGCGGUGAAAUGCGUUGAGAUCGGAAGGAACGCCCGUGGCGAAAGCGAGGUCCUGGACGUCUGCUGACGCUGAGACGCGAAAGCCAGGGGAGCGAACGGG